RNAcentral lists this ribosomal RNA (232 nucleotides) under uncultured bacterium. RNAcentral describes it as "partial 16S ribosomal RNA". It matches the Rfam family "Bacterial small subunit ribosomal RNA", at positions 524 to 748 of the family's 1533-position model. The record is from RNAcentral.
UACGGAGGGAGCUAGCGUUAUUCGGAAUUACUGGGCGUAAAGCGCACGUAGGCGGCUUUGUAAGUUAGAGGUGAAAGCCUGGAGCUCAACUCCAGAAUUGCCUUUUAAGACUGCAUCGCUUGAAUCCAGGAGAGGGUGAGUGGAAAUUCCGAGUGUAGAGGGUGAAAAUUCGUAGAUAUUCGGAAAGAACACCAGUGGCGAAGGCGGGCUCACUGGACUGGUAUUGACGCUG